Molecule: long non-coding RNA, 520 nt
Organism: Papaver somniferum (opium poppy)
Lineage: Eukaryota; Viridiplantae; Streptophyta; Magnoliopsida; Ranunculales; Papaveraceae
Exons: 2
Source: RefSeq, a predicted model, not a curated record
UUCUCCAUCGGCUAGAACUUUAAAGAAACCAGUUAUCAUUAAGGUCAACAUCUUUCCAACUGAUGAAGAUGUACUUUAGAAGGCGACGCCCCAAGGGAAGAUCACAGAGACCAAUCAGACGUAUUAAUCUGUUUGAUUAUAUAUUUUAUUGGAUCUGUCAUGGAGGGCGAUGAAAAAUCUUAAAGCAAUAGGGCUGGAGCAAGGAGACCGAAGCUCUCUUGGAAGCAGUGUUGUGGGCUAAAGACAAAGGGCUGGCAAAUAUACAUUUAGAGGGAGAUUGCUUAAAUGUGGUCGAUACUUGAAAUGGAAAAUUGGCAGCGGUGAAAUGACCUACAACAUUAUAAGUGAUGCUCUAGGUAUUCUUACUCCUACCAAUGGGUUGUUACUGGAAAAGAGCUUCGGUUUUCGGCUCCAGGUAUUCUUAGCUCUUUUAAUAAGUGGACUUGUUCUUAUGUGAUGCAUGCAACUAAGAUUGCCGACUCUACAGCUGAAUUUGCAAGAGAAAAUGACUUUUGUUAAA